UAUGAAUUGUUGUUUUUACUAUUGAAUUUGUUUCUGGUUUUCUUCUGCUGGUUUUUCUUUGUCUUUCCAGGAUACUCAAGUGUAAAAGUGAUGGGGUCAGCUGUCGGAGGCCUUACCUGUUUCACAAUAACAGUGGUUCUGGCUGUUAUCUACUUGAAAUGCAAACGGAACAAACUCAAAAGGGAAAGGAAACAGUUCCACCGGUCCAGUAUUUGUAAAGGUGGUCCUUAUCUCAUUCAGGACUCCGCAAAUCGCAGAACGAAUGUACAAAGCCGCAUAGCCUACCAGAACUAUGAGAAUGUCCAGGGGACUCCAUCCCCCCAAAACUGUGUCCAGUUUACCUAUGCAAAUGUCAAUCAAGAUUACCAGAGGCAUACAAAGGAUCAACAAAAUUACAAAAAUGUGCAGGCAACUUCAUCACUGAAACGGCCUUUCCAUCUUGCCAAGGACUGUAAGUAGGCUGAUGUUAAAAGACAAAGAGUGACAGCAGUCCAGGGAUAAUUUCAGAAAGGAAUGGUGGAUAGAAGGGCACAGAUUGUUCAGUCCAUAU
This 550-nucleotide long non-coding RNA is filed under the name Lepisosteus oculatus (spotted gar). RNAcentral describes it as "lncRNA (ENSLOCG00000022868.1)". The record is from RNAcentral. Lineage: Eukaryota; Metazoa; Chordata; Actinopteri; Semionotiformes; Lepisosteidae.